UCUGGUUCUCAAUUUUCAAUAAAAAAAAAUCUAAAUAGCAUCAGUUUGGUUUAGUUUCAUAUAAAAAUAUAAAGGUUAAACCACUUCAGAGGUCCUUACUUUCACGUUUUUUCCUAAUUUAGUCCCCGAUUUAUUUUUUUUGCCAAUUAAGUCCCAAAGAUUGCAAAAUUGAAAGAAAUUAACCCUUACCGUUAAAUCAAGUUAAUAGGGUUAAGUUUAAGCUUAGUUGUGCGGAUGAGGUGGAAAGAUAUCUUUACGUGGCAUCUUCUAAACCUUUUAAUAUUUGUUUUAUUAUGUAUAUGUGGCAAUGUUUUAAACAAUAAAAAUAUUUUUUAUUGUAUAUCCUUCGUUGCGUCCAGUUUUCUUCUUCCUCUGCAUCUCCACCAUUGCUACCGCUGCUUGUCGCGCCUCCCCCGCCGCUGUUCGUGGCCUCCAACGGUGGAGGGUUUGAGAGAGAGAGGAAGGUUAUUGGAUUUGGCUCCAACGGGCUUGCCCGUUGGCAUUAGAUCUUCAUCGUCUUGAAAGAGUGCUCCUGAAGCUGAAAGGUGGGGGGUAUUGUUUCUUGAAAUAUCCUGUUUUCUCUUAAAUUGAUUGAUUAAAUGUCGCUUGCAAGUAAAUACCUUGUUUUCUCUUAAAUUGAUUGGUCUUUGUUUUAGGGCAUGGGUGUGAUUGUUCUGUUUUCCAAUUUUUUUUAUUUUUUAUUUUUUAUUUUUUAUUUUUUUUAUCUUGGGUUGUUAGAACUUGAGCGUGUGUGUUGUGGUGGCAGUGGGAAAAAUUAAAGGUGAGGUUGGAUAUUCCGACGAUGUACAAGAAGAUUUCUCGGAGAGAUGAAGGCAAUAUCGCAAGCCACCGUCAGUGCCUUGCCACCUCUACAGCAGAGCGAAACGCGCCACCACCCAGAGCCUUUUCUUCACGCCACAAGCAGCGUCAUCCAAACCUCCACCACGAGUUCUCCCCUUAUCCAGAAAAGCAAUCAGCAACGAACAAUUGCACCUCUGCCACGACACAGAAGCGAUCCAGUGUCCCCAUAAACGCAAUCAGCAACGAACAAUCGCAAAUCAUAUUUUCUCCUUAGUGGUUCUUAAUCUGCAAACCCAAAAAAUCAACACAGUUCAUCCCAAAAUCAGAAAUAGAAACCCUAGAAUCGCGUGACCCCAAUUCGCGCCUUCACCUUCCCUAAAUCGUUAACUCCUAUGCCUUCUACGCCUUCCACCUGCAUCAGAAAACAGAAACCACGAAGAAUCCUAAACACAAAACCCCAUUCGUAAAAAUCUCAAAUUGCAGAAACCCAGAACAGUGUGCCUUCUCCUUGCACCUCUUCGGACCAGAACAGUGUGCCUUAUUCCCAUAAAAAACUUAUUUUUUAUUUAAAAAAAUUCCAGGUAAUAAAAUAUUUUUACGUCAGCGUGAACCACGUCAUCACAGGUAAGGUGAAACUUAACUUCGUUAACUUCAUUUGAUGGUAAGGGUCAAUUUCUUUCAACUUUUCACUCUUAGGAACUUAAUUGGCAAAAAGAAAUAAGUCGGGGACUAAAUUGGGAAAAAAACGUGAAAAUAGGGACUUCUGAAAUGGUUUAACCAAAUAUAAAAAUAAUGUUGAUGGAUUUUCAAUUUUUUUUAUUGAUUUUUUAUUUUUUAUAGACUAAUUUUUAAUACUCCUG
This 1661-nucleotide long non-coding RNA is filed under the name Vigna radiata. RNAcentral's name for it is "long non-coding RNA (VRAD_LNC018401)". The record is from RNAcentral. Lineage: Eukaryota; Viridiplantae; Streptophyta; Magnoliopsida; Fabales; Fabaceae.